RNAcentral lists this ribosomal RNA (253 nucleotides) under uncultured bacterium. RNAcentral describes it as "partial 16S ribosomal RNA". It matches the Rfam family "Bacterial small subunit ribosomal RNA", at positions 524 to 776 of the family's 1533-position model. The record is from RNAcentral.
UACGAAGGGGGCUAGCGUUGUUCGGAAUUACUGGGCGUAAAGCGCACGUAGGCGGAUAUUUAAGUCAGGGGUGAAAUCCCAGAGCUCAACUCUGGAACUGCCUUUGAUACUGGGUGUCUUGAGUGUGAUAGAGGUAUGUGGAACUCCGAGUGUAGAGGUGAAAUUCGUAGAUAUUCGGAAGAACACCAGUGGCGAAGGCGACUCGCUGGACAAGUAUUGACGCUGAGGUGCGAAAGCGUGGGGAGCAAACAGG